GCAAGAUGGUUCGUUUAUUUUUUAUUUUUAGUUAGUUAUUUCUUAUUUCUAAAGGGAUCAUUUGAAACUAGUUAUCGCUGUUACGAAUCCAAAACCGGUAUUUAUCAUUAAUUUCAUCAAGAUUUUAAGUGUAAUUAUAACCUGCUAUACUUAUAUGCUAUGUUAUUACAGACAAAGUGCUGCAGUUCCCGUUCUUCAUACUAUCCACUGACUACGACAACUAUGCCAUCGCAUACACCUGCAAGACUUUCAAGAAGAAGCCGAGAACCCAUUACGUUUUCUCCUGGGUCUUAUCAAGAAACAAGCAAAAGUUACAAGGGGAAUCACUGAAAAAAGUAGAAGAUGUUUUGUCAAAAUACACGGAGUUGGCCGAGCAUAGACAGUCAUUUGUUUUCAAAGAACUCUCAGACGCAGAAUGUCAGUUCUCGCAAAAAUUCGAGACAGAUUUUUUUACUAGUAAUUUUUGGUAAUGUUAAAA
Molecule: long non-coding RNA, 478 nt
Organism: Cydia strobilella
Lineage: Eukaryota; Metazoa; Arthropoda; Insecta; Lepidoptera; Tortricidae
Exons: 2
Source: RefSeq, a predicted model, not a curated record